GGGUGCAGGGCCCGGUCCGCGGCACUUGUUUAUUGUCGCGCCGCUGGUGCGAGCCAAGCUGCAGCAGACAUGAUGGCCCGGGGCGAAGCAGGAGCCCAGUGGCCGGUAGGUGGCAGCCGAGGGCGAAGGCGUCCCUGGGCUCUGGAGGCAUAGCCAGAACCCCCUUAGAUGUCACAUUCGUGGAGACAGAGGAGUCUUGGACCAUGUGCGCAACUGGAGCGUAGGAGUGUGCACUCGUCUUCUCGGAAAGGAAGGGCUGGAAAUAACCCUGACAGUGUUAGGCUUGGUGGCGAUCAGGGACAGAUGACUCUUACCGGUAGCCGUUUGCCCAAAUGCUUCUGCCCUUUGGAAGAGUCUUUGUGGCAGUGUGAGUUGUCUCCAGUAAGGGACCCUGGAGGGAGUGGCUCAUCCUAGCUAUAAAGAGUGUGUUAUUUUUAUCUUUUUUUUUUAAAGAAUCACUUUUUCUAAGUAUGUCGGAGUGAUUGAGCAGAGAGAAAAAUGAAUACCCUAAGCGAACUAGAAAUCUGGAAAGAACCGAAAUAGAGGCAGUGUCUCAUGACACUUUACUUGAGGACUCACCUGAUGAACUGCUGAUCAACUCUAUAGAUUCCUUCACCUAACCAGAACUGACUUCAUCAGAGAGUUAUGAUGGUUAACUCUAUCAGUCUUCUACCUGAAUGCCCCAAGAUAUUGAUGAAGUCAACAAAAACAUUGAGCCUCAGAACACAAGAAAUCUUGGACAAACUGGGAGACAGCUUGUCAGUAUCUAAGGUUGCCAUCUGGAGUUUUAAGUAAUUGUCUACUACUGAAGAAACAAGACCCAGCAGACCCUCAGAUGGAACUGAAGUAAAUGCCUUAUCCUUGACGAGUAGUUUUGAUGUUACCAGAAAUUACAAUAAAAGCUUCCUAAAGAUGGAAACAACCAAAAAUUCCACCUAAGUUUAUACCUAUGAACCCCCAAAAUGACUAGAACAUCAAGAUACUUCUAAAGGUGUAGCAGUAGUAUGCCAAACUUGCUAGUAGCUAAAGUUCUCUAAUUGGACUUAAGAUUCAUACAACAAGAGGGAAACUAUUCCUGUUACCUAAAACCCUUAAAUUUCUUGGUGCUAGUGACUUCAUCAAUUUCAGGGAAGAACCAACAACCCCCUCUUUAACAAAUCAGCACAAUAACAACUACAUAUAAAUGUUUGUCAUUAUACCUCCAUAGAAGUAUAGUCCUGACUGUUCAUUAACAAGUGCUUUUUACAACAGACAGAGACCAUUGCAGGGACCUAUAACCAAUCAAAAUACAAGAGUUGAGGAGCUCAGUCCCAUUGAAUACAUCUACAUAACAAUUUCUGUACCAAAAGCUCAGGGAAUAUUGUGGAAGAGGGAGUGGAAAAACUGUCAAGAGUCAGAGGUCAGGGAAGUGGAUCUGAGCUUGUGUUGACACUGAAAUAGUUGACUUGUGGUUUAUUCAUUAUUUACAAACAGUUCAAAGUUUUGAAGAUUGUAUUAACAAGGAUUGUCCUUAUAAGAUAUGACUUGAUAUUAGAACUAAAAUUUUUUCCAGCAGAAUGAAGGUUUUAAAAAGGUAAUCUGUUCAGGCAUCAUCAGAAAUUUACACUGCAUUCUCUAAAAUGUACACUAUGUCUGGGUGUUUUCUGGUCAUGUUGAGGCAAGUAAAGGGGAGGCUACGUGCCUGAGGUUCUUUCUGUUUCCAGCGUUCUUGUGAAUCCAACUGAGGCUUUACCUAGAGACAAUUCUCAAAACUGACUAGGAAAAAAAACUGUGCCCAUACCAGUCACAGCCAUCUGUCAGCCAACUGAUUAUAUAAUUAUGGAAUGUCAUUGAACAACCAACGGAAAUCCCUAGGGAUAGAGUAAUUUUUUCACGUUCCCUCAGAAUUCUGCACAUGAAGGCUCCUUUCCCACACUGCUCUGAGGGAAGUUCUCUGACCCUUUACAGUCUUGCCUGAUGUGUCUUGUUACUCUUGGUCAACAGAACCUUUGCUAAAUUUAUUUUGUCAAAAGACUUUAGUUUACUCAUAUAGUUACAAUGAAUAGGAGACUGGAAAAGCUAGCUGCCUAUGAUUUAGUCUAUCUAAAGUUCUUAGCAUAUGCCUAUAUCCCAUUUACAUUAGUAGGCAUUUGGCAUCCAGUACCAUCCCCUUCCUCACCAGUUUCCACUUGCUUUCCAUGGGUUCAAUAAUUUAGUGGACCUACUUUAUAUAGGUUAUAUGUCAUUCUGCAGAGAAUGGCACAGUCUCACUAUCUUGGCUCUGAGCCACUAAAGAACUGAACCACCUUUUGGUCUGAUAUCUCUAAGCUGCAUGUUAACCACUGGCUGACCAUUUAAUGGUGACCGUGGUUAUCAGGUUGAAUGUUUCACAUAUCAGUGCCUGUGUUCAGUGAGUCUUGCAGGGUAGCCUAACCAUGUAUUACAAGGCUGAUGUCAUUUUCCUCACCAUAUUUCUCCAGAAGAUCAUGCCACCUUAUAUCAUCAGAGGAAACGGGCAAAGGUUGUUCACAAUAUAGUUUUAUAAAAGAGUAUCAGGUUUAUAUUACUCUCAUUAUAAGCAUUGCUACCUUGUUCUACUUUAUUUUUCAUUCCACUUAAUCUCUUACUGUACCUAACUUAUACACAUUAUUAUGUACAUGUUCAUGAAAAAGGUAAUCUCUGAAAUACCAAGUACCCAUUAAAAUCUUAGAGGACAACCCUGUAUAAAAGGAUUGCUGCCUUUGUGCCAGUAUCAUAUUAUCAUGUCUAUAUGAUUUUUUUAUAUCAAAGAGUCCUGUGUUUAUGAACUAUACCACCUUACUUCUACAGCAUCAGAUACUAAGUGAGGUCCAUGAGUCUGCUAGCCACAUUAUAUAUUCUUUACAAUGGUUUUUAAGGCUAGCAUGAUGUUUCAUAAUAUAACAGCAUAUCCUAAAAACCAGCAAAACCUUACAUAAUAAUCUAAACUAAUUAAAUUUUAAAAGUUUCUAACAUGAGAUACUCAUAAAACAUUUGUAUAGAAUGUAAUCUGAAAGGGGCAAAGUUGCUGGUGUUUUUCAGUGACAGAGAAGAGAAGCUAUUUUUCUAAUGCAGAGUGAUCAGCUUCGUUCUUUCCAGCAUAUGAUCAAGUUAGGAACUCACAAGUGGGAAUUAUCUCUGAACAGUUUUAAGAACAUUGCAUGCUUUGCUGUAUUAAUUUUCAUUAUGUUAUGGCCUUGUUAGUGAUUUAUAAUUUUCAUUAUAAUGUGACUAAAUUGAGAACAGGACACAAAGUAGCAUAUUCAAAAUUGCAUUAGUAUUUAAUGAUGUUAGGAUACAACGCUAUUUAAAAUUUAUCUGAAGCUAACUGUUCACAGAGUUUGUACUCCUUAACCCUAAGCAUCGCACCCCCGACGCAGGACGACAAUACUAUUCAUCCAGUAGUGGUGGAUGUUGUAGUGUUAGGGACGGGUGGCCACGAGCCCUAGAAAUAUCGGUAGAAAUAUUACUUCUUGCCAUACAUAUGACUUACUUAUCAUGUUUUGAAGAAAUAGUGUAGAAAACUCUAUGAAAGUGUUCACCCUUGACCUUAUAUGACAGCCAUAUGUGGAAAAUAUGUUGAGAUAUAUUGAGCAAAAUAAUUAAUCUCAACACUAGGGAGGUAGAAGCAGAAACAGUUAGAUCUCUGUGAACUCAAGGCAAGCCUGGUCUACAAAGUGGGUUCUAAGAGUAACAGGGCUACCAUAUCUUAAAAAAAAAUUAAAAUUAAUUUCACCCUUAUUUUUAAUCCCUUAAAGUUUCUUAACAUUUCCAACAUAGCUAGUGAGGAAUCAAAUACUAACUUUCAAAAGAAAUUUAAAUUUUGACCACAGUAAUUAUUAUAUUGUAGCAGAAUUUAUUUCUUGUACUGUACUCUAUUGUCAAAACAAUGUAAUUGUAGCACAAUAGAGUACAGCACAAUUUGGAGUUUUGUGAUAAUUUGUAUCUGGUGAUAUUAAUUGGGCUAUUAUCAUUUUAAUAGUUAAAAUAUUUGAGAAUCUAUUGAAAAAUUUAAAAAAUGGCAACAUAGGUCUUUAUGCACAUUGUAUAUUUGAGGGUUGUAUAUGUGUGUUUGUGCACUUGUGUGUGUAUGUGAGUGUGUUUACAUUUAUAUCAUUAGAGUUUAUUUAUAUAUGUAUAUAUGUAUGUUUAUGUAUGUAAGUGAAUAUAUAUGUAUGUUUGUACUUUGACCAGUGUGGAGAUACUAGACUUAUAUAAGUCCACCAUUACAGUAUUUGCCAUAAGCACAUUCUCUAAACUCUAGCAAGAAUAUCAUUGUUAAAACAAUAUCAUGACAUUUUAUUAAAUGCUUGCUGGUAUAAAUUACUACUCUAUUUUUGACAUCACCUGAUUAAACAUUCCAUAUUCUGUAUUGCAUUAUAAUGAUAUUGUUGAUAUCAUUACUUCAAAAAUAAGUGAUCUGGAGCCAGACAUGAUAGGUCAUGUUUGUAAUUCCAGUGAUCAAAAGGCUGAGCCAAUAGGAUCACAUGAAUUUGAGGCCAGCCUAUUUUGUAUAGUGUGUUUAAGUCCUAGUUGCAAUAGAGAAUGAAACCUUCUUUCUAACACCAUGGCAACAAUGUAACUGAAUGGAGCCAACAGAGUUAAAUAAACUUCUGAGUCUCGAAGGAAUAGUAAAGGAUGAUAAUGUUAUAAUGAAAGACAAGAAGAGUUGUGAUUCAUAGAGAAAGACCCUUAAACAAAGGGAAGAAUUUUAUGUUUGGCUAAUUAUUACUGAUUUAUAAGCUACUUUGAAUAAAACACUGUGAUAUUUUUCCUUCAUGUCUUUAAUGUAUUUUAUAGUGGACAUUAAUUCUCAAAUAUUUCUCAUUUUAAAUGCUAUGUUUACUUAUUAGUAAAUUCAAGCUUGUAAUUUUCUUCUGUGAUAAAUAGAUGAUGGAUAGGAAGACGGAUGAUAAAAUGUUUACGGCAUUGUAUAAAUGACAGUCAAACCCUGGGAAUUGCUGAAACGGUUCUGAGAAAAAGCUAUAAUUGGAAAUUAUAUGGCUUUAUUAUAUAACCAGAAAAAGAAAGAUCAUAAAUCUACUUAUAUUGUUAACAGUAAGCACUCAUAUAAUUGCUUUUUAAUUAAUAUGUAAUAAAUUGCUUCAACUGUCACUUUAAUUAAAUAUACAGUAUCUGAGUAUUUGGAGUGUUUGUGAAAUCUGUGAUAAAUUGUAUCAUUGAAAGCUCCUUUUAUACUUCAUUUGGUUGUGCACACUAAGAUGAAAAAUUUUGUAAGAAGAAAAAUCCCUGUUCAAAAUAUUUACCUUCAAAUUAUGUCACUCGAAUAUACACAAUUAUUCAGAUGGAUAGGAUCGCUUAUUUGAAAAUUUAACAAUGUUUAAAACUUUAGUUUAUAUUGUCAAAUGUUCUAUCUCUAUUUUAUUGAUGGAGACCUAGGGUGUUCAUUAAGAUUUUACCAGUUUGUAUGUGCAAAGCUCCAUAUGUGUUCUUAUGAAUUACAGAUUACUUCCCACUCCUCUUCUGGACAUUGGAAUGGAAAGUGAUUUACAUUUAUGCAAACCCAUUAUGCUGUUUUUCAGGCAUUUUAUAUAAUAGUUUUAAGAGAUUAGAAGUGACAACAGCCAUAAAAAGGGAAAUAACCAUUAUAAAAUCGAAUCUGAAUCCAUGACAAUUUGUGGGAAAGUAUUGUCUUUUCUUACUCAGUUUUCCCCCCAUGUACCUCUUAGUAUAUCUAAAUGGCAAACCAUUUUCUACUUUUCUACUUAAAAAUACUCUUUAUUGAAUAAAGGAAAAGUAUUGCCAUUUUUGGAGCUGAAAGAAAGUUGUUCCAUACCAUUUUUCACUGAUACAUAACUAUAUUUCACAGAAUUUCGCCAGGACUUACAUUUUCUCAUUAAUGUAAAUAAAAAUAUUAUUUGGUAUUAUACUUAGAAUAUGUAUAAUAUUAAACAAUAUUCAAAAGUAUGUGAAAUAAACAUUGGCAUUACAACAUCAGAAACAUAAAUACUGAUAGAAUUACAUGCAUUAAUAUCUUUGUAUAUUGAUUAUAAAUAAACUUUAAUGUAAUCAGUAAUUCUUAGUACUGCUAAGUUGUUCUGGAAUUUGUUUAUCUUUAGAAUUUAUUCAAAAUUAUAAAUGCAUGAUUACACCCAUCAUUCUAACAUAUAUAUGUAUACAAUGUAUAUGCACAUUGUACAUUAUAUACAUUAUAUAUUCAUUUAUACACACACAAACACACAUAUGUAUAUUUCAACAUUUUAGAAUGAGCUGGUUGAAUUGAGACCAAGUUUGUCAUUAAUUUUAAAUCAGUUUACAUAGAAGAGAUAGUCUAGUAUAUUCUAUUCUACAGGGAAAUUUUGUUCAUGGCCUUUCCAUUAUACUAGCCUAUUUAAUUUGUUUUUGACAUUGUUAAAGCAACAUAAUAAAGAAUGUAUGGAGCAUACUAUGCUUUUUCCUAUCCACCUUUUCUCGUUUAGUUGUAUUUUUUUAGAUCAAAAUCUUUCUUCUAAAUUUGAUCUCAUACUUAAUUGCAUUCUUUUUAAACUUCAUUCAUACAGAAAUUCAAAACACUCUCAUUAAAUUGACUAUAAAACUUCAUAUGACAACAUCUCAGAGCCAUAGAUAUUGUCUCCCCAACCCCCCGUGCCUUCCAUGUGCAGCUAUACAAAUCCUUUUUUCCCAUUAAUUUAUUUACUUAUAAAUUUAACAUUCCAAUCACUCCCCCUCAUGGUCCCCCCUCACACAGAUGUUCCUCACAUUCUUUGUCCCACCUCUCCACUGAGAGGGCUGGGCCACCCUGGGUAUCCUCCCCUCUGUUACUACCAUGCUCAUGUGCAUUUAGAACACUGAUUUUCUGUCCUGCAUUUUCUUUGUCAGUUUUACCUAACAGAAGAACGUCUCCAGACUGUACAUAUUUCUUCACUGAGUUAUGGCACUGUUCUCCAAAACGCUCCAUAUAUAGAAAUCAAGAACAUCAUUUAAAUUUUGGAAGCCAAUGUCGGAUAUCAAUGUAAAUAUUCUUUCAAAGUAUGAAGUUUCCUGUGGAGAUGUUUUUCUUAUGAAAUAAGUGAAAUUAAUUUAUAACCUCACUGUAACUAAACAGUCUAACACAAUCAAGCUAGUCUAAAAUGAUAGCAUAGAGUUGCUAUUUACCAGGUUGUAAAUUUAUGGUUAAAAACAAUAUUACCUUGUUCUUCUUUCCUGUCAUAUCUAUUGUUUGUCCUUAAUUUCUAAGCAAGCAUAAUGGACACUAUUACAGAGUCUCAAGCUACUCAUUCUGUCCUACCAAUCUGUCUAAAUUCCCAACACUGAACUUGACUUAUAAGUUCUGCUGAAGGCUUUGUCUCUGAAGGCAGUUUGAGUCCUCACCAAUUGCAUGCGUAUACAAGUGGAUUCUCUUGAGAAAAGGUACUGUGAAUAUACCCAUCAUUUUCAACAUGAUUCAGAUUUCAACAUUAACUGGCAUCUUCCAAUUUUGAACAUGUCCUCUAAGGACCUGUAAGUGCCGGUAUCCCAUACUCAUUUUCUUUUUCCUUAGAGAUCUUUGAUUGAUAUCCCUCCACUUUGCUUUAAUUUAUUCUUUCACCAUUUCUGGCAGAUUUUUAUGCCUUCAAAAUCUGUCCCUGAAUUCCAGCCUUUCACUAAUCUCAUAUUACACCCAGUCUUGUUGCUGCAUUCCUAACUAUGUGGUGAUAAUUCUAAUCUUGCCAUCUCAAACCCUGUAUAUCUUUAAGAUAAGUCUACAUUUCCCUCUGCCACAAAGUCUCUUGAACUAUAAUUUUCUUCUUAUUUUUAAAUUAAUCUAUCAGGUAUUCAACAUAGAGCUAGUGUACAGGAAUUUGCAGUGAGGGCCAAAUGUCAUCAGAGGGAAAAAUCAAAAACAGAAACAUUUUUUUGUUUUCCAUAGCAACCGCUAACACAUUAUUUAAAACAAAAAUGAUCAUACAAAAUCAUGAACAUUUACUCAUACUUUAUAUGUAAACUGAGAACUGAGAGUUAGCACUAUAUUAACACUAGCAGAAAACACACUGUUAUUAGUAUUUAGGAGCCUCAUAGAUAACUGAUUGAUAACAUGAAGAGCUCACAUUCCCUGCCAACCUCACCCCAGCACACCCUGGAGUAUUGUCAUGGAUAUAUCUAGCUAUUCUUUCUAUUUCUAUUUCCAAUUGUUCAGAGAGCUCACUCAAUUUAUUUCACACAAUGGUUCAGAUCUGUCCUUUCCUUUCUAUUACCACUGCCACAGAACAGUCUCAAGGGUCCCAUGACCUUUCAUCCAGAGAAUUAUAGGAAACUUUUAUGUGAUUUAUUUUCUUCUAAAACUUUUCUUACAUUGUAUAUCCAAUACAUUCUCUUUUAAUGAUGUUUUCUUCUAAACCAGAAUUUUGACCAUCCAAAUUUGAAAGGAAUAUUUCCCAUUACUUUGAACUUAGAUAGAUAUGUAAAUAGAUAGUAGAUAAAUUGAUAAUAGAUAGGUAAUAAAUAAUAUGUAAAUUGUUUUCUGAAAUUCAGUAUUUUAUAUCAUAAUGUGGUAUUAUUUGCAAUGAUUUUCAAACAUACAUAUACCCUAAAGCAGUUCAAACUCACCUGUGUAAACUCAUUUUGUAUAUUAUUUCAUUUUCACUUCUGCUGGUGACAUAUGGUUAUCCCUCCUUCCUGUAGAAUUCAUGUUUUUAUUUAAUUUUUUCACCAGUCAUUUGGAAAGACUUCACUGUCUUUGCAUUAGCAAGAGAAGAGCCUAGAUAAUUUGGACUUUGCACGUUUGCUUUAUCUGCUUACCCACUCUACUUAUAUAAAUUCAUUUUAAAUGAACAUAUCAUCAGAUCUUCUGGUAGGAGGUACAGCCUCAGAAACAAGGGCCAGCAUUAAUUUGGCAGUCCAGAUUCUGUCAUCAUUCGAUCAUCACAGAUGAGGACUUCCAUAUUUCCAAAUAUUUUUUCUUUUGUUCUUCUAUUUUGAAAAAAGAACAUGAAUUGAAAAUAUCUAUAAUAAAAUAAAAUGAUGUGAAUUCUUACCCUAAAAAUGAGGAAAAUUAAACACAGGGCAAGGGAUUUUAAAUAUUACUUUUAUAUUUUGAAAAUACUUUUUCCUGUUUGAGUUUUACUGAAAUUAAAGAUUAAGAGCAAGAAAAAAAACAUAUUCAUGACAUUUAAAAGAUUUAAAAUGAGAUAAAAUUGUCUUUGGC
Long non-coding RNA from Mus musculus (house mouse), 9142 nucleotides. RefSeq annotates it as predicted gene, 30439. The record is from RefSeq and is a predicted model, not a curated record. The transcript has 3 exons. Lineage: Eukaryota; Metazoa; Chordata; Mammalia; Rodentia; Muridae.